UCCGGUUUGACACCGGCGGUCUCCCAUGAGUCCCCGGCAUUACCCGCUGGCAACAUGGAACAGGGGUUGCGCUCGUUGCGCCACUUAAGGCAACACCUCACGGCACGAGCUGACGACAGCCAUGCAGCACCUGUGCCGGCUCCCGAAGGAGCCCCGUGUUUCCACAGGUUCACCCGGCAUGUCAAGCCCUGGUAAGGUUCUUCGCGUUGCGUCGAAUUGAGCCACAUGCUCCGCCGCUUGUGCGGGUCCCCGUCAAUUCCUUUGAGUUUUAGCCUUGCGGCCGUACUCCCCAGGCGGGGUGCUUAAUGCGUUAGCUUCGACACGGAGACCGUGAACUGGUCCCCACAUCUAGCACCCAUCGUUUACGGCAUGGACUAC
This 378-nucleotide unclassified non-coding RNA is filed under the name uncultured Actinomycetes bacterium. Its description in RNAcentral is "uncultured actinobacterium contains 16S-23S intergenic spacer region". Lineage: Bacteria; Bacillati; Actinomycetota; Actinomycetes. The record is from RNAcentral.